UUAAUUAGAAAGCUUAAUGGAGCUAAACAUUGCACAGGUGUGAUUAAGAUUGGAUUUUUGUCUUCUCAACUGUGUUAGUUGACUUUACACCAAAGAAAGCAAAUGAAAAGUUUAUUAGUGAUGAUAAAUGACUUUGACUUCAGACUGGAAGAACUUAAAGUUUUGGAUUUGUGUUUGCUCUUUUAAAUUUGUUUAUGAAUUGAGAAUCUUGGUUUUUGAGCCUUGACAUUAUUGAUGAUGAUUUGGCAGGAGAGUUAUUUAAAAUUUCAG
RNAcentral lists this long non-coding RNA (270 nucleotides) under Prunus persica (peach). RNAcentral's name for it is "long non-coding RNA (PPER_LNC007696)". The record is from RNAcentral. Lineage: Eukaryota; Viridiplantae; Streptophyta; Magnoliopsida; Rosales; Rosaceae.